UGGGGUGGGCAGUGGCCGCUAGGGGGCGCUGUGGGGUCAUUGAGCCCUAUGAGGUGGGAGGUGGCCGCUAGGGGGCGCUGUGGGGACAUUGGGACCUAUGGGGUGCAGUGCAGCCCUAUGGGGUGGGAGGUGGCCGCUAGGGGGCGCUGUGGGGCAUUUGGAUCUAUGGGGUGGAGGACUGCCGCUAGGGGGCGCUGUGGGGCAUUGGGAUCUAUGGGGUGGAGGACUGCCGCUAGGGGGCGCUGUGGGGCAUUGGGAUCUAUGGGGUGGAGGACUGCCGCUAGGGGGCGCUGUGGGGCAGUGGGACCUAUGGGGUACAGUGCAGCCCUACGGCAUGCAGGGUGA
RNAcentral lists this long non-coding RNA (345 nucleotides) under Gallus gallus (chicken). RNAcentral's name for it is "lncRNA (ENSGALG00010009813.1)". Lineage: Eukaryota; Metazoa; Chordata; Aves; Galliformes; Phasianidae. The record is from RNAcentral.